AUCAACAAAGGUGGCAUCUGAGGCACUAGAUAUAGGAAGAUCUACCUUUUAUCCAGAUUCUAGUUUAUCAAACACCUUUGGGUUCAAGAUACAGGACAAGCAAGGUCUUGGAUUUAUUGGAAGAUUCCAGCUGAAUACUUCUUAAUCUUUUUUUGGGAGGAUCAAGAGAGACGAACAAGAAGCAAGCUGAGCUCAAUGCAAAACUUGAUGCUAGAUUAAAACUUGAUCUGUUGUUUGAUGUGUGAUGUGAUGUGAUGCCGGAAAACUUGAGGUGUAUGAUGUAACAGCAUUCUAAUUUUGAAACUGAUUAUGUGGGCUAUU
Long non-coding RNA from Panicum virgatum (switchgrass), 321 nucleotides. RefSeq lists it as uncharacterized. Lineage: Eukaryota; Viridiplantae; Streptophyta; Magnoliopsida; Poales; Poaceae. The record is from RefSeq and is a predicted model, not a curated record. The transcript is spliced from 2 exons.